GACGAACGCUGGCGGCGUGGAUUAGGCAUGCAAGUCGAACGGUAUCAUCCUUUCGGGGGUGAGAGAGUGGCGAACUGGUGAGUAACACGUAGGUUAUCUACCCUCAAGACGGGGACAACCCAGGGAAACUUGGGCUAAUACCGGAUGUGAGCAACUUUUAGUUGUUUGAAAGGUGGCGUAAGCUGUCGCUUGGGGAUGAGCCUGCGUCCUAUUAGUUAGUUGGUGAGGUAACGGCUCACCUAGGCAAUGAUAGGUAGGCGGCCUUAACGGGUGGUCGCCCACACUGGGAUUGAGAUACGGCCCAGACUCCUACGGGAGGCAGCAGUCGAGAAUAGUCUACAAUGGUCGGAAGACUGAUAGUGCGACGCCGCGUGAACGAUGAAUCCCUUCGGGGUGUAAAGUUCUUUUAUAUGUGAGCAGUGCUUCUUAUAUUAACAGUAUGGGGAAGAGAUAUUAGCAUAUGAAUAAGCAACGGCUAACUCCGUGCCAGCAGCCGAGGUAAAA
Molecule: ribosomal RNA, 504 nt
Filed under: uncultured bacterium
Lineage: Bacteria
Description: bacterial SSU rRNA
Rfam family: Bacterial small subunit ribosomal RNA
Source: RNAcentral